GAUGAAGAACGUAGCGAAAUGCGAUAAGUAAUGUGAAUUGCAGAAUUCAGUGAAUCAUCGAAUCUUUGAACGCACAUUGCGCCCGCCAGUAUUCUGGCGGGCAUGCCUGUUCGAGCGUCAUUUCAACCCUCAAGCCCCAGCGGCCUGGUGUUGGGGACCGGCGACCUCGCCCGAGCCCGCCCUCCGGGGCGCGUGCCCGGUGCGUCCGCCGCCCCCGAAAUGAAUUGGUGGCCUCGUCGCGGCCUCCUCUGCGUAGUAGCACAACCUCGCAAGCGGGAGCGCGACGCGGCCACUGCCGUAAAACGCCCAACUUUUUUAGAGUUGACCUCGGAUCAGGUAGGAAUACCCGCUGAACUUAAGCAUAUCAAUAAGCGGAGGA
RNAcentral lists this unclassified non-coding RNA (379 nucleotides) under soil metagenome. RNAcentral's name for it is "partial contains 5.8S ribosomal RNA, internal transcribed spacer 2, and large subunit ribosomal RNA". The stretch from base 1 to 120 matches the Rfam family "5.8S ribosomal RNA", at positions 35 to 154 of the family's 154-position model. The record is from RNAcentral.